RNAcentral lists this transfer RNA (81 nucleotides) under Candidatus Sericytochromatia bacterium. RNAcentral's name for it is "tRNA-Leu". It matches the Rfam family "tRNA". Rfam says of the family: Transfer RNA (tRNA) molecules are approximately 80 nucleotides in length. Their secondary structure includes four short double-helical elements and three loops (D, anti-codon, and T loops). Lineage: Bacteria; Bacillati; Candidatus Sericytochromatia. The record is from RNAcentral.
GGGGAUGUGGCGAAAUGGCAGACGCACCAUCUUGAGGGGGUGGCGGAGAAAUCCAUGAGAGUUCAAGUCUCUCCAUCCCCA